GGGAGGCAGCAGGGGGGAAUAUUGGACAAUGGGCGCAAGCCUGAUGCAGCCAUGCCGCGUGUGUGAAGAAGGCUUUAGGGUUGUAAAGCACUUUCAGUGGGGAGGAAGGCCUUAUGGUUAAUAGCCAUCAGAAUUGACGUUACCCACAGAAGAAGCACCGGCUAACUCCGUGCCAGCAGCCGCGGUAAUACGGAGGGUGCGAGCGUUAAUCGGAAUUACUGGGCGUAAAGCGCGCGUAGGCGGUUAGCUCAGUCGGAUGUGAAAGCCCCGGGCUUAACCUGGGAACUGCAUUCGAAACUGGCAGGCUGGAGUACGAGAGAGGGAGGUGGAAUUUCAUGUGUAGCGGUGAAAUGCGUAGAUAUAGGAAGGAACAUCAGUGGCGAAGGCGGCCGCCUGGCUCGAUAUUGACGCUGAGGUGCGAAAGCGUGGGGAGCAAACAGGAU
Molecule: ribosomal RNA, 443 nt
Filed under: uncultured Gammaproteobacteria bacterium
Lineage: Bacteria; Pseudomonadati; Pseudomonadota; Gammaproteobacteria
Description: bacterial SSU rRNA
Rfam family: Bacterial small subunit ribosomal RNA
Source: RNAcentral